UACGAAGGGGGCUAGCGUUGCUCGGAUUGACUGGGCGUAAAGAGCUCGUAGGCGGUUUGUCGCGUCGGCUGUGAAAUCCUGGGGCUUAACUCCGGGCCUGCAGUCGAUACGGGCAGACUUGAGUGUGGUAGGGGAGACUGGAAUUCCUGGUGUAGCGGUGAAAUGCGCAGAUAUCAGGAGGAACACCGGUGGCGAAGGCGGGUCUCUGGGCCAUUACUGACGCUGAGGAGCGAAAGCGUGGGGAGCGAACAGG
RNAcentral lists this ribosomal RNA (253 nucleotides) under uncultured bacterium. RNAcentral describes it as "partial 16S ribosomal RNA". It matches the Rfam family "Bacterial small subunit ribosomal RNA", at positions 524 to 776 of the family's 1533-position model. The record is from RNAcentral.